RNAcentral lists this unclassified non-coding RNA (4844 nucleotides) under Limulus polyphemus (Atlantic horseshoe crab). RNAcentral describes it as "diacylglycerol kinase 1-like, transcript variant X5". Lineage: Eukaryota; Metazoa; Arthropoda; Merostomata; Xiphosura; Limulidae. The record is from RNAcentral.
UUCAACACUUACUUUCUGGACAAACUAGAUGAAAAAGAUCUCUCUCCCCUCCACUGUCUCAGCGCUGAUGGUUGGUGAGACUGUUUUACAAACUGCCUUGGCUCGUGCCGCAAUCUGGGUGGGCAGUUCCUAUUGUCACAGCGCCCUCUUUAUUUGUUAUGCCGACUUGUUUGAUGUCUGUUAGAGCCAGUCCAAAUGAUGACGCUAAAGUGGGAAAAACUUUCGCCUGCCGAAUUUCAACAGCUACAGGAUUUUAUACAAUUUUCUUCUAAGAAGCUGACUGAGGUGUUAGAAUAUGAGUUUAAAGAAGGGGGCGCUUUGUCCAAGUACAAUCCUGAAGGAGAUAUUGAUCUGGAGGGCUUCCAACUCUUUUUGGAUACUUACCUUGAGAUCGAAACGCCAAGAGAUUUAUCCAAACGUCUUUUUCUUUCGUUUUUAAAAAAAUCACCCCAAGCUACGUCCCAGAGUUUUGACGGUCGUCUUCUUAAGGUGGCAGCUGUGACGUCCACAACAGCCUGUGCACCACUUACGUCGCAUAAUGGCUGUGGUUCUUUACCGGAGUUAGCCAAGCAUGGACAAGCAGAAAAGAAAGAUGAGAAAUAUCACGGCUUGGCAGAAAAAAUCCAUGGACUUACAGAAAAACUACACAGUCUCGGUCAUCAUCGCAGUGAUAGCGACAGCUUCACUGGCAAGUCUGGGUGCGCUUCUGUUCACCCGAUGGUGACUGUUACUCAGAAUUACGGGGAGCAGAUGUCAACGGAUUCCUCUCCUAACCAGAGUGUGGUUUCCAGAAACUCUUCCCGAAAGUCCAACAGUUCCAUUCUUGUACACAACAUUGACUUAAGGAAGGCCAGUAGUCAUGUGGACGUGCACACUUUACAGGUUCCUUUGAAAGACAUUGUCUGUUACCUGUCACUAUUGGAGGCUGGAAGACCAGAAGAUAAGCUUGAGUUCAUGUUUCGGCUUUACGAUACUGAUAGUAAUGGAUACCUCGAUAGCAACGAAAUGGACUGCAUAGUAAAUCAAAUGAUGACAGUCGCUGAAUACUUGGGAUGGGAUGUUAGUGAGCUGAAACCGAUUUUACAGGACAUGAUGAUAGAAAUUGACUAUGAUGCUGAUGGAACAGUUUCUCUUGGAGAGUGGAAGCGUGGUGGAAUGACAACAAUUCCAUUACUCGUCCUACUCGGACUUGAUUCGAAUGUGAAGGAUGACGGAAACCACGUGUGGAGAUUGAAACAUUUCAGCAGGUCUACCUAUUGUAACCUUUGUCUUAACAUGUUAGUUGGCUUCGGCAAGAAAGGACUUUGUUGUACUUUUUGCAACUACACCGUUCAUGAAAGAUGUGUACAGAAGGCGCCGGCCUCGUGUAUUAGUACCUACGUGAAAUCUAAAAGGACUUCGCAGACGCUGCUUCAUCACUGGACAGAAGGUAAUUGUGUUGGGAAGUGCAGUAAAUGCAAAAAACCCAUUAAAUCGUACAACGGAAUAAGUGGACUUCAUUGUCGGUGGUGUCAAAUGACGCUUCACAACCACUGUGCUUCCCAAGUGAAACCAGAAUGUACUUUAGGAGAACACAGAGACCACAUUCUGCCCCCUACUUCCAUUUGCCCCAUCGUUCUGGAAAGACAACGAAGUUUGUCCGGUGGUCAGAAGAAAAACUUAUCUCGUUCAGAUUCCAGUAUGGCAACAUGUGAAAGUACACAAAAUGUUGGCUCUCCAAUGUCAUUCCAAAUUACUCCACUUCCAGGUACUCAUCCGUUAUUAGUUCUGAUAAAUCCAAAAAGUGGCGGAAGACAAGGAGUUAGGAUCUUAAGAAAGUUCCAGUACUUACUUAAUCCUAGACAGGUGUAUAAUUUAUCUAAAGGGGGACCAAUGCAGGGGCUACAGUUUUAUAAAGAUGUCCCGAACAUUCGAGUGCUUUGUUGUGGUGGGGACGGAACAGUCGGCUGGGUCUUGGACACAAUAGACAAAAUGAACCUUCUCCAAGCACCACCUGUCGGCAUUCUGCCAUUGGGUACAGGGAACGAUCUAGCAAGAUGUUUACGGUGGGGACCCGGCUACGAGAACGAGAGCCUUGACAAGAUAUUGAACAAAAUAGAAAAAUCCACGACGGUGCCAAUGGACAGAUGGAGAAUCGACAUCACAACCGCUGAUAACACAGAAGAAAAAGGAGAUCCUAUACCGUGCAAUAUUUUCAACAACUAUUUCUCCAUUGGAGUGGAUGCGUCGAUUGCCAUAAAGUUCCAUCUAGAAAGAGAAAAACAUCCUGAAAAAUUCAACAGCAGAAUGAAGAACAAAAUAUGGUACUUUGAAUUUGCUACAUCCGAAACGUUCUUUGCUACGUGCAAGAAUUUACAUGAUGACAUUGAGAUAACGUGUGAUGGUCAGCCUCUUGAUCUAGCCAAUGGGCCAUCUCUUCAAGGGAUUGCAGUCCUCAAUAUUCCCAGUAUUUAUGGAGGGUCCAACCUCUGGGGAGACAACCCCAGUCACAAGAAGAAACCCAAACGGAGGAAGAAAACAAAAGAAAACGACGGGCGAGUUAACACCCUUCAACCAACUGACCUGAGCGUUGCAGUGCAAGAUAUUGGAGAUAUGUUGAUCGAGGUUAUUGGCCUGGAAAACUGUAUGCACGUAGGCCAAGUGAAAGCUGGACUUCGAGGGUCUGGUCGUCGUUUAGCACAAUGUUCAUCAGUUAUGAUAAGGACAAAAAAGAGAUUUCCAAUGCAAAUAGACGGAGAGCCAUGGGUACAAACCGCCUGUUCGAUCAACAUCAGCCAUAAGAAUCAAAUGCCAAUGCUUAUGGCACCGCCACCUGCGAACAAAGCUAGAUUUCCCUUCCGGCUUUUUUUCCGACGAUCAUAGUUAGGUGAGAUGUGCCAUCUAAGUAUGUGGUAUAUAGGUGUACCCGUAGUGAAGCAUUAUUACACUAUUAAAUUCGUCUAUAUUUAAACCAUUAUCCAUUUGAGAAAGUUCGUGUCCAGAAACCAGGUCAUCGCUUCCCAAUGCCAGAAAAAAACAACUUAACUUAUUUGGAGGAUUAACUCCACUCUUCAGUAUAUUCUCUAAUGUAAUUCUAGUCGGUUAACUGUAUUUUUGCAUAAUAAUAUUGAUAAUUCUAGCGAUGGUCUCAAUAUUUAAUACUUAAUAUUAUUCCGGUGAAAGAGUAGUAACCUCUCUGACUUAGACAUCGAGGUUUAAAUUUCCAAAGAUUUUUGUACAGUCCAUAGGACGUUUACGAAACUUGAUCGUAGACCGUCCGUCAACAAAGUGUGUUUGUAAAUGUUAUUUGCAUAUGUAUAUUUUUGUGUAUUUCAUAAUAUUUUUUAAGUAAUAUUUAACGAUCAUUUCUACUAGACCUCUGAAGUAUUAUUGUAUUUAUUGUGUACUUGGCGUUCAGUUCUAGUUUUACUAUAGAAGUUUAUGUCAAUACUAAGAAUAAAUACAACUUUCAUAUAAAGAUAAAAUUGACUAAAGGCAACUUUAGACCCUGAGCGUGGAUCUUUCUUCACUAGGGGAAGACUGUGAAUCAGUUUUUUCAUGUUAAAGAAAGGUUCACCUUUCGAAAAGUGGAUCUUUCUUCAUUAGGGGAAGACUGUGAAUCAGUUUUCUCAUGUUAAAGAAAGGUUCACCUUUCGAAAAGUGGAUCUUUCUUCAUUAGGGGAAGACUGUGAAUCAGUUUGCUCAUGUUAAAGAAAGGUUCACCCUUCGUAACACCAUAUUAACAUAUAAUGAGUAGCAGAUGACUCUUCUAUACUUCUUUGAUAAAUGGAAUAUACGACAGAUUCGUAGAAUGUGUUGUGUCUGUCUGCUUUAUUGACUUUUCGGUAUUUCCUAAUUCUGAAAAAAUGUUUUUGUGGUUUUUUUCACUACCACAUGAAUCGAAAGAUGUGUUUAAUUCAUUAUGGGUUAAAGAAAGUGCCCUGUAACAUUGAAGAAUAAUUAUUUCAUAAACGAAAAGGGUAUUUCAAAUUUAAACAAAUUGUUUAACAAACAAAAAAUAACUGUUCAACUGAAACUUGUGAAAGGUUUCAAAUAUCAAACCUAAAUUAAAUGUGGGGUAAGCUUAUGAAAUUGAGAUUUUUUAAAACGGUGCUGAUAUUAGACGUAAAUGUUUUACCACUCAAAUCUUGUUGUUCCUUCUACAUUUUAUCAAAUCUACAAACUGAUUUCUAUUUUAGAACUACGUAACGUCCAUAAGGUUUGUGGUCUUCCUUCUUCAUUUUAUUGUAGAAUGUAAAAAAAGUCCGUCAAAUUUUCUAGCAUCAAGGUUAACUUUACAGCUGUAUAUACAAAUGUGUAGAUAAAGGCUUUUUUUCGAUGUGUUAUAUUCGUUCGUUUCUUAAUAUAAUUUGUCGAAAUACGUCUUUUUUUAUUAACUUAAUCUACUAGAAAGCUACUCAUUUUCAAGUGUGUGUGGAUCAAUUUAGGCAGCGAGGUACUAAUAAGAGAUUUCGUGGGUUCAUUUUCACCGAAUCCUGAUAUCGAAAUUAAAUUACGAGUAAUUUUCUGAAAUGCUACUUCAAUGUGAUUAUUCCAAAUUAUAAAUAUGUGUGUGUGUGUGUGUGUGUGUAUAUCAUGAUUAAAUACAUAUUUAAUUUUCCUCACAAUAGAGUUAUUUUAUACUGAAUCAUAACAUACGUUAACAUAAGUCGUGUGCAGUAAUAAUUUCUUUUAAUAUUCUUUCUGAAGAUAUAUGUUUUCAGUUUACUGGCAAAGGAUUUUAUGCUAAAACAUAUCAGUAAAAUUGCGUUUAAAAUUUUCUUCUACAAUUUCUUUGCUAUUUAUGUCCCAAUUACUAGACUAUGUUGUGUAAAAUGUUCACUUAUUUGCUAAGAGGGAUAAUA